CCUACGGGAGGCAGCAGUGGGGAAUAUUGCACAAUGGGGGGAACCCUGAUGCAGCCACGCCGCGUGAGUGAAGAAGUAUUUCGGUAUGUUAAGCUCUAUCAGCAGGGAAGAAAAUGACGGUACCUGUCUAAGAAGCCCCGGCUACCUACGUACCAGCAGCGGCGGUAAAACGGAGGGGGCAAGCGUUAUACGGAUUUACUGGGGGGAAAGGGAGAGUAGAAGGCAGAGAAAGUCUGAAGUUAAAGCCCGCGGCCCAACCGCGGAACUGCUUUGGAAACUGCCCGGCUAGAGUGCUGGAGAGGUAAGCGGAAUUCCUAGUGUAGCGGUGAAAUGCGUAGAUAUUAGGAGGAACACCAGUGGCGAAGGCGGCUUACUGGACACCAACUGACGUUGAGGCUCGAAAGCGUGGGGAGCGAACAGGAUUAGAUACCCUUGUAGUC
Molecule: ribosomal RNA, 440 nt
Filed under: uncultured bacterium
Lineage: Bacteria
Description: partial 16S ribosomal RNA
Rfam family: Bacterial small subunit ribosomal RNA
Source: RNAcentral